Canis lupus familiaris (dog) is the source of this 73-nucleotide non-coding RNA. NCBI's taxonomy places the organism in Eukaryota, Metazoa, Chordata, Mammalia, Carnivora, Canidae. The record is from Rfam.
ACCUGGCUGGCUCAGUUGGUGGAGCAUGUGACUCUUGAUCUCAGGGUUAUGAGUUCAAGCCUCACGUUGAGUG